GAUGAACGCUGGCGGCGUGCCUAACACAUGCAAGUCGAACGAGAAAGCUAUCUUCGGAAAGCGAGUACAGUGGCGAACGGGUGAGUAACACGUUGGUGACCUGCCCCGAGGUGGGGGACAACUGUAGGAAACCAUAGCUAAUACCCCAGAUGUUGAGGAGUCUAGACGUCCUUAACUAAAGUUCUGGCGCCUCGGGAGGGGCCUGCGGGCUAUCAGCUUGUUGGUGAGGUAAUGGCUUACCAAGGCUAAGACGGCUAGGGGGCGUGAGAGCGCGAUCCCCCACAAUGGGACUGAGACACGGCCCAUACUCCUACGGGAGGCAGCAGUGAGGAAUAUUGCACAAUGGGGGCAACCCUGAUGCAGCAACGCCGCGUGAACGAUGAAGGCCUUCGGGUCGUAAAGUUCUUUUCUGAGGGACGAUAAUGACGGUACCUCAGGAAUAAGUCCCGGCUAACUACGUGCCAGCAGCCGCGGUAAAACGUAGGGGGCGAGCGUUAUCCGGAUUUAUUGGGCGUAAAGCGCGCGUAGGCGGCGCGGUAAGUUGGACGUGAAAGCUCCCGGCUCAACUGGGAGAGGUCGUUCAAAACUACCG
Molecule: ribosomal RNA, 592 nt
Filed under: uncultured bacterium
Lineage: Bacteria
Description: bacterial SSU rRNA
Rfam family: Bacterial small subunit ribosomal RNA
Source: RNAcentral